GCAUUUUUCUCAUCCACCCUCUUCUUUUCUUCUCAAAUUUUAACUCCACAAUCAAACAUAACAACAAAAAUCCUUAUCUUCCUCUAUCUCAAUCUCAGUCUAUAUUAGAUCCCAAGGUCUUAAACCAACAUGCUAACAAAAUCAGAUUCAAAGGAAAAUACCUGAAGCAGCGGCGCGGAAAUGAAAGGGGUUGGUGUCGGGUUGUGCACCUAUUCAUAGAGGUUUCUAAGGGUGUAUACAAAGUAUUACACACCAGAAAACAAAAUUCACAUGUUUCAAAUUAUUUUUACACUAUUCAAACAUUCUUUUUAAAGUGUUCAUCCUUAUUUCAAGAAAAUUGA
Vicia faba (fava bean) is the source of this 341-nucleotide non-coding RNA. The record is from the annotation of a GenBank genome assembly. NCBI's taxonomy places the organism in Eukaryota, Viridiplantae, Streptophyta, Magnoliopsida, Fabales, Fabaceae.